RNAcentral lists this long non-coding RNA (633 nucleotides) under Homo sapiens (human). RNAcentral's name for it is "HSALNT0367286". The record is from RNAcentral. Lineage: Eukaryota; Metazoa; Chordata; Mammalia; Primates; Hominidae.
AGGACUCCGGAGACUGCAGCAGCGCGAGCGGCCGCCGCGGCCCGGGCUGCUCCUGGAGUCGGGGAGGAGACGCGACUCCCGCAGACACGUGACCUCCUCCCAGCCGCCGCUUCCCGCGACCCAGAUCCGUCCCCGGAACCCGUGCCCGGCGGGGCGGGCCGGGGGACACGUAGCGGGCGCCCCAGUCCCUGCUGCGCCCUGGUGCAUGUACCUUUGGCGUUCUUCUCCCCUCGGUUCACUUAUCACCGGCAAUAAUCAACGUUUCAGAGAUCACCCCGGGGAGAAUGAGCACACGCGGCCCCAAACGUCGUCAUCUGCUGCUGUGAUUAGUGGCACCGCAAUUCCGGCUGCUGCGGGGAAGUUUAGUUGGCCCAGGGACGCCGUGUCACCGAAAGACACUUGGAUUGCGACAUUCGGACCCAGUGACAACGUUUUCAUGUAUCUUAAAUCCUUCAAGGAGCGGAUUGCAAGUUGCUUCUUCUCGAGGCAACCUCUCCACCCAGCGCCAAGGAGUCCCUCCAGGCCACUGAUCACACAAUCGGUGGAAAAGCAAAAAGCCACGUUCACAUUCCUGCACCGUAACAACGGACGAACCCAGGGAGUCGCAUUUUGGAGCCAAGGAAGCUCAGGCUG